RNAcentral lists this unclassified non-coding RNA (238 nucleotides) under Hevea brasiliensis (rubber tree). The record is from RNAcentral. Lineage: Eukaryota; Viridiplantae; Streptophyta; Magnoliopsida; Malpighiales; Euphorbiaceae.
AUGAAAAAUUGAUUUCCGAUUCUCAGCCACAUCCAGAGUAUAGGGUCGGAGCGUGACAAAACUGGUCGAUGAACUAAAGUAUUCUUUUGUUCACACAAACAUGUAGAGGAGUACUAGAUCUAAACAUAACCUCACAAAAAUAAGUAAUAUUUUUGUGAAUUUGAGUUUUGAUGGUGGUGUUGAAAAAAGCUGGAUUUCAAUCCAUAAAGUUCAGACCAAUAAUGAUUUCCGAUUCUCA